CCUACGGGGGGCAGCAGUGAGGAAUAUUGGUCAAUGGGCGCUAGCCUGAACCAGCCAAGUAGCGUGAAGGAUGACUGCCCUAUGGGUUGUAAACUUCUUUUAUAUGGGAAUAAAGUGCAGUAUGUAUACUGCUUUGCAUGUACCUUAUGAAUAAGGAUCGGCUAACUCCGUGCCAGCAGCCGCGGUAAUACGGAGGAUCCGAGCGUUAUCCGGAUUUAUUGGGUUUAAAGGGAGCGUAGGCGGGUUGUUAAGUCAGUUGUGAAAGUUUGCGGCGCAACCGUAAAAUUGCAGUUGAUACUGGCAUCCUUGAGUACAAUAGAGGUAGGCGGAAUUCAGAGUGUAGCGGUGAAAUGCUUCGAUCUCUCGAAGAACUCCAAUUGCGAUGUCAGCCUGCUGGACUGUAACUGACGCUGAUGCUCGAAAGUGUGGGUAGCAAACAGGAUUAGCUACCCGUGUAGUC
RNAcentral lists this ribosomal RNA (460 nucleotides) under uncultured bacterium. RNAcentral describes it as "partial 16S ribosomal RNA". It matches the Rfam family "Bacterial small subunit ribosomal RNA", at positions 338 to 795 of the family's 1533-position model. The record is from RNAcentral.